UCCAGACUCCUACGGGAGGCAGCAGUGGGGAAUAUUGGGCAAUGGGCGCAAGCCUGACCCAGCAACGCCGCGUGAAGGAAGAAGGCUUUCGGGUUGUAAACUUCUUUUCUCAGGGACGAAGCAAGUGACGGUACCUGAGGAAUAAGCCACGGCUAACUACGUGCCAGCAGCCGCGGUAAUACGUAGGUGGCAAGCGUUAUCCGGAUUUACUGGGUGUAAAGGGCGUGUAGGCGGGGACGCAAGUCAGAUGUGAAAACCAUGGGCUCAACCGGUGGCCUGCAUUUGAAACUGUGUUUCUUGAGUACUGGAGAGGCAGACGGAAUUCCUAGUGUAGCGGUGAAAUGCGUAGAUAUUAGGAGGAACACCAGUGGCGAAGGCGGAUUGCUGGACAGUAACUGACGCUGAGGCGCGAAAGCGUGGGGAGCAAACAGGAUUAGAUACCCGAGUACA
RNAcentral lists this ribosomal RNA (450 nucleotides) under uncultured bacterium. Its description in RNAcentral is "bacterial SSU rRNA". It matches the Rfam family "Bacterial small subunit ribosomal RNA", at positions 330 to 797 of the family's 1533-position model. The record is from RNAcentral.